ACGCAUGAAAGGAGGUGAUCCGGAAGUGAUUUCUUACCGGACCAGCGAGGUGACUGCGGGCUGAGGCCUGCCGUCGCACUCUGUGCACCUCGGCAGGCCAGUCUGCCGAAGACCAACGCAGUCACCCGACCCGUGAGCCGCCGGUGAGUCCGGCCGGCUUCCGUCCGACCCAGGCGCCUGGGCGGACGGGACCAAGGCUCACGGGUCGUCUGCG
This 214-nucleotide small RNA is filed under the name Streptomyces cinereoruber. RNAcentral's name for it is "sRNA Ms_IGR-5". It matches the Rfam family "Actinobacteria sRNA Ms_IGR-5". RNAcentral also lists the same sequence under 1 other name. Lineage: Bacteria; Bacillati; Actinomycetota; Actinomycetes; Kitasatosporales; Streptomycetaceae. The record is from RNAcentral.